AAUUCAGUGAAUCAUCGAAUCUUUGAACGCACAUUGCGCCCCUUGGUAUUCCUUGAGGGCAUGCCUGUUCGAGCGUCACU
RNAcentral lists this ribosomal RNA (80 nucleotides) under Tuber wanglangense. RNAcentral's name for it is "partial 5.8S ribosomal RNA". It matches the Rfam family "5.8S ribosomal RNA", at positions 78 to 154 of the family's 154-position model. From Rfam's summary of the family: 5.8S ribosomal RNA (5.8S rRNA) is a component of the large subunit of the eukaryotic ribosome. Lineage: Eukaryota; Fungi; Ascomycota; Pezizomycetes; Pezizales; Tuberaceae. The record is from RNAcentral.